UGGGGAUUCGCCAAGUGGUAAGGCACCGGGUUCUGGUCCCGGCAUUCGGGGGUUCGAAUCCCUCAUCCCCAGCCA
RNAcentral lists this transfer RNA (75 nucleotides) under Candidatus Saccharibacteria bacterium oral taxon 488. RNAcentral's name for it is "tRNA-Gln". It matches the Rfam family "tRNA". Rfam says of the family: Transfer RNA (tRNA) molecules are approximately 80 nucleotides in length. Their secondary structure includes four short double-helical elements and three loops (D, anti-codon, and T loops). The record is from RNAcentral. RNAcentral also lists the same sequence under 11 other names. Lineage: Bacteria; Candidatus Saccharimonadota.